This 84-nucleotide transfer RNA is filed under the name Escherichia coli. RNAcentral's name for it is "tRNA-Tyr". It matches the Rfam family "tRNA". Rfam says of the family: Transfer RNA (tRNA) molecules are approximately 80 nucleotides in length. The record is from RNAcentral. Lineage: Bacteria; Pseudomonadati; Pseudomonadota; Gammaproteobacteria; Enterobacterales; Enterobacteriaceae.
GGUGGGGUUCCCGAGCGGCCAAAGGGAGCAGACUGUAAAUCUGCCGUCAUCGACUUCGAAGGUUCGAAUCCUUUCCCACCACCA